UGCAAGUCGAACGGCAGCACAGAAGAGCUUGCUCUCUGGGUGGCGAGUGGCGGACGGGUGAGGAAUACAUCGGAAUCUACUCUGUCGUGGGGGAUAACGUAGGGAAACUUACGCUAAUACCGCAUACGACCUACGGGUGAAAGCAGGGGAUCUUCGGACCUUGCGCGAUUGAAUGAGCCGAUGUCGGAUUAGCUAGUUGGCGGGGUAAAGGCCCACCACGGCGACGAUCCGUAGCUGGUCUGAGAGGAUGAUCAGCCACACUGGAACUGAGACACGGUCCAGACUCCUACGGGAGGCAGCAGUGGGGAAUAUUGGACAAUGGGCGCAAGCCUGAUCCAGCCAUACCGCGCGGGUGAAGAAGGCCUUCGGGUUGCAAAGCCCUUUUGUUGGGAAAGAAAUCCAGCUGGCUAAUACCCGGCCGGGAUGACUG
RNAcentral lists this ribosomal RNA (430 nucleotides) under Stenotrophomonas maltophilia. Its description in RNAcentral is "bacterial SSU rRNA". It matches the Rfam family "Bacterial small subunit ribosomal RNA", at positions 56 to 475 of the family's 1533-position model. Lineage: Bacteria; Pseudomonadati; Pseudomonadota; Gammaproteobacteria; Lysobacterales; Lysobacteraceae. The record is from RNAcentral.